GCAUGCAAGUCGAACGGUAACAGAGGUGCUUGCACCUGCUGACGAGUGGCGAAAGGGUGAGUAACCCGUGAGCAACCUGCCUCGAAGUCCGGGAUAGCCUUGGGAAACCGAGAUUAAUACCGGAUGUGGCUGUUUUUCCGCAUGGUUUUACAGCUGAAGUUUUUUCGCUUCGAGAUGGGCUCGCGUUCCAUCAGCUAGUUGGUGAGGUAACGGCUCACCAAGGCAGCGACGGAUAGGUGGUCUGAGAGGAUGGUCACCCACACUGGGACUGAGACACUGCCCAGACUCCUACGGGAGGCUGCAGUCGAGAAUCUUCCGCAAUGCGCGAAAGCGUGACGGAGCGAUGCCGCGUGCCGGAUGAAGGCCUUCGGGUCGUAAACGGCUGUCACCCGGAACGAAUAUUGACGGUACCGGGAGAGGAAGCCACGGCUAACUACGUGCCAGCAGCCGCGGUAAUACGUAGGUGGCUAGCGUUAUUCGGAUUUAUUGGGCGUAAAGGGUUCGUAGGGGGCCGAGUAAGUCUGAUGUGAAAUCCAACGGCUCAACCGUUGAACUGCAUUGGAUACUGCCCGGCUAGAGUACUGGAGAGGUAAGCAGAAUUCCUGGUGUAGCGGUGGAAUGCGUAGAUAUCAGGAGGAAUACCGACGGCGAAGGCAGCUUACUGGACAGUUACUGACCCUCAUGAACGAAAGCUAGGGGAGCAAACAGGAUUAGAUACCCUGGUAGUCCUAGCUGUAAACGUUGUUCACUAGAUGUAGGCGGAUUUGGUCCCGUCUGUGUCCAAGCUAACGUGAUAAGUGAACCGCCUGGGGAGUACGGCCGCAAGGCUAAAACUCAAAGGAAUUGACGGGGGCCCGCACAAGCGGUGGAGCAUGUGGCUUAAUUCGAGGCAACGCGAAGAACCUUACCUGGGUUUGACAUAUAUCUGACCGCCAUGGAAACAUGGUUUCUCUUCGGAGCGGAUAUACAGAUGCUGCAUGGCUGUCGUCAGCUCGUGCCGUGAGGUGUUCGGUUAAGUCCGGCAACGAGCGCAACCCGUGCUGCUAGUUACCAGCGAGUAAUGUCGGGGACUCUAGCAGGACUGCCCGUGCUAAGCGGGAGGAAGGCGCGGACGACGUCAAGUCAGUAUGGCUCUUACACCCAGGGCUGCACACGUGCUACAAUG
RNAcentral lists this ribosomal RNA (1165 nucleotides) under uncultured organism. RNAcentral describes it as "bacterial SSU rRNA". It matches the Rfam family "Bacterial small subunit ribosomal RNA", at positions 53 to 1232 of the family's 1533-position model. The record is from RNAcentral.